UAGCACGAGCACGAGCACAAGCGCAAGCUAUUAUUUUAAAGUUUUUAAGGAACUCGAAAUACGGAAUUAAGACAUGUCGAAGAAAAGUAUAAUUACAGCUUUGCUCUUUGUUGCUCUUGUGUUUUGUUCAGCUGUUGUCGAGGGUGGCGACGUAGAAUGUUGUCGUGACAAUCAUAUUGGAGAAUGUAUCCCAGGAGAAGCAAGUGAAGAUAGGUGUAAUGGAUUAUGUAAUGACAAUGGAUGCUCUAAGGGUGGCUUUUGCAAAGUUCUUAAGCAAGAUCCUCCCAAUCAUUUUUGUCAUUGUCAAUGUUGAUCGAUCCAUCUUUUACGAUCUUUUGUUUAUUUUUACUUCCAAGAUAUAUUAGAGUAUUACUAUGUACGGACUACGGAGAAGAGGAUAAAUAAGGAAGUAUAAUAUCAUAUUUCAAUUUUAA
Spinacia oleracea (spinach) is the source of this 434-nucleotide long non-coding RNA. RefSeq lists it as uncharacterized. The transcript has 3 exons. NCBI's taxonomy places the organism in Eukaryota, Viridiplantae, Streptophyta, Magnoliopsida, Caryophyllales, Amaranthaceae. The record is from RefSeq and is a predicted model, not a curated record.